UGAGGAAAGUGAUGAUAUGAAAUUGUCGCCCCAGGCUUAAUCUGCAUCCAUUACGAUGGUUGUAACAUGGUGAUUGACUAUUUUUGUCUGAUUCUCUCAAAUCGUUUAUUAUGAUUCUGUUAUAAUGGUUGUGUAUGGAUAUGAUGAAAUGGCAAUAAUGUUUUGUGACACCCAGUCUGAUCUUCGUGAUUGAUUUGCCAUAUUUUCUGAUCCUAAUUCUUCUUCAGUUUUGUGAAUUUUGAUUCAAAGUUUUGAUCUUUGAAAGGGAGGAAUGAGGAUGUAAUUCCAUACGUCUGCAAAUCUGAAAUACAGUGUUGAUACAAUGACAUGCACUACCAUCUGACCUCUGUUUUCUUGUUUUUGUUUUUGUUUUCAAU
This 377-nucleotide small RNA is filed under the name Arabidopsis thaliana (thale cress). The record is from RNAcentral. Lineage: Eukaryota; Viridiplantae; Streptophyta; Magnoliopsida; Brassicales; Brassicaceae.